Molecule: ribosomal RNA, 253 nt
Filed under: uncultured Christensenella sp.
Lineage: Bacteria; Bacillati; Bacillota; Clostridia; Christensenellales; Christensenellaceae
Description: partial 16S ribosomal RNA
Rfam family: Bacterial small subunit ribosomal RNA
Source: RNAcentral
UACGUAGGGAGCAAGCGUUGUCCGGAAUUACUGGGCGUAAAGGGUGCGUAGGUGGCCAUGUAAGUUAGGUGUGAAAGACCGGGGCUUAACCCCGGGGCGGCACUUAAAACUGUGUGGCUUGAGUACAGGAGAGGGAAGUGGAAUUCCUAGUGUAGCGGUGAAAUGCGUAGAUAUUAGGAGGAACACCAGAGGCGAAGGCGACUCACUGGACUGUAACUGACGCUGAGGCUCGAAAGCGUGGGGAGCAAAUAGG